Molecule: long non-coding RNA, 272 nt
Organism: Hyalella azteca
Lineage: Eukaryota; Metazoa; Arthropoda; Malacostraca; Amphipoda; Hyalellidae
Exons: 2
Source: RefSeq, a predicted model, not a curated record
CCGUAUCUCCUGAGUUAUCCCUACACUUACGGAGACGCUCGCUACUACCUCGACGAGCAGCACGUGCCGGUGGUGACGUGGAUGAUCAACCUGUCUUGGCGGUUGGCUUUGGGAGGUGUUGAGAUCUGCAGGGAGGCCCACGAUCUUAGCGCUGAUGGCCCCACGGCGAGAUCACGGCGUGUGAAGUGGCGCUAAAGGUGGAAGAUGCCUGGAAGGAGUCUGGGUCAGAAGCCUUACUAGCUUCUGAGUUUCGUUCAAUAAACUUGCAUCGU